This is a non-coding RNA of Triticum aestivum (bread wheat), 128 nucleotides long. The record is from Rfam. Lineage: Eukaryota; Viridiplantae; Streptophyta; Magnoliopsida; Poales; Poaceae.
GAAGUACUCCAUCCGUCCGAAAAAACUUGUCAUCAAAAUGGACAAAAAGAGGUGUAUCUAGAACUAAAAAGAUACAUCCCCUUUUAUUCAUUUUGAUGACAAGUAUUUCCGGACGGAGGGAGUAGUAC